Molecule: long non-coding RNA, 1337 nt
Organism: Scatophagus argus
Lineage: Eukaryota; Metazoa; Chordata; Actinopteri; Scatophagidae
Exons: 6
Source: RefSeq, a predicted model, not a curated record
AGUAGUCGAGUCAUUAUUACCUGUACUCGCAAACUUCACCGCGAGGGAAAUACUUCACUGGUGUCGGUGGAAGAUGCGAUAGAUUGCGUUGCUGCACUGGUAGAGAAGCUGUGGAUUAAUGAAGACUUGAAGGCGUGAAGACUUGUUUCUACCUCCCCCUGAAUUAACGCGGCCAAUGAGGGCUCACAGUCAUGGGUCCUGUGGAUCUGGAUCUGUUUGGUGCUAUGGGUCCCGAGCACAGCCAGUAACAGCCUGAUCCAAGUGAUCCAGAUCAGCUAUGUUUCCAGCCACACAGGAACUCGACUUCCUCGGCUCCCUGAGUUCCCUGAAGAUGAAUAAGUGACGGGGAUAUUGGCUACGCCCUUAAUUGUGCAGACUCGGACUUGCAUGACCCAAGAGGACCUUGGAGUUGGGUUUCACAGCUCAUUGUGAAUCUGCUUUGGGGUGUGCAGAUUUGCGCUACAUUUCGCCCCUCUCGACUGUGGGUGAGGCUUAGGGUUAUCGCUCCACCGACAGGGGGAUCGGAGCAGACUAUACACAGGGCUAAGCUGGAUCUCAUUAGGACCAAGGUGGCAGUGAUCCCGUCAACAUCGCUUUGCCUCCUGCCAUAUGGGUCGCCUCCAAGGAUUUCCCUCUGCCGGGAGGAAGAGUAGGCCUGCUCCUAUUUGCUUUCUACUGAGAGACUUCCUCCCUCAAAGGCUUCUCAAACAAUGCAUCCAACACAGCUGGCUUUCAAUUUUAAGAAUUCUUAAGAUGUUGUUGGAAACAUGCUGGUCAUAUUUAAAUAGAUUUGCAUGGAAUGAAAGAAUUAAUAGAUUAAUGAAACCUUGGCGAGCAGACAGAGAAGGUCACUUAAAUAAUUUUGUUUCUGUUCACUCAAAAGAAAAAUUCUCUUCCUUAAAAAGACAUUCUGUGAUAACGUAAAAAGGGUCAUUGCACCAUCGAAAUACAAGAACGCAACUUAACAAUGUAGCUCUCACACCCUGGCUGCCAUAUCUUUUAAAUUCUAAAAAAAUCUAGUUUUUCCAGACCUAUUGUGACUCUUUUUGUUCUGUUGAUAUUAUGUGAUAUUAAUUUCAAUAUUGUUCACAUGGACCCUGAAAAUACUAACUAACUCCUUAUAGAAGGAAACUGGGAUUCAAAUGAAGAUCCAUGUCUACUGAAAAGUUACAAUUGUUUGUCUUACGGUGUUGUUAAAGGUUUGUUUACAUUAGCCAUGUUUGUAAAAACAGGGUAAAGGUGGCUUGUAUUUCAAAAUCUGAACUAUUCGCAUAUGCAAAAUGCUGUUUAUUUUUUUCAUCUAUGAGUGAACCAUUAUAUAUUAAAAAAAAAAAAUA